UAAAGGUGGAAAGAAGGGUGGUGGCAAGAAGAAGGGUGGCUCCUUCUAGACAGUGUCAGCUCUUUUCAGGGAAAACUUGGGCAAGCUGAUGACCAACUUAAGGAGCACUCAUCCACACUUUGUGCGCUGUUUGAUUCCAAAUGAAUCAAAAACACCAGGUCUCAUGCAGAACUUCCUGGUCAUCCACCAGCUGAGGUGUAAUGGUGUGCUGGAAGAUAUCAGGAUCUGCAGGUAAAGUUUUCCCAGCAGAAUCCUCUACGGUGACUUCAAGCAAAGAUAUAAAGUAUUGAAUGCUAGUGUCAUCCCUGAGGGACAGUUCAUUGACAACAAGAAGGCCUCAGAGAAACUACUUGGAUCCAUAAGUGUCGACAAAUCCCAGUACAGAUUUGGGCUUACCAAGGUAUUCUUCAAGGCUGGACUACUGGGUAUGCUUGAGGAGAUGAGAGAUGAGAAAUUGGUUGAAUUGGUCACAAUGACUCAGUCCGUUUGCAGAGGUUUCCUGAUGAGACGAGAAUUUGUCAAAAUGAUGCGG
Molecule: long non-coding RNA, 532 nt
Organism: Etheostoma cragini (Arkansas darter)
Lineage: Eukaryota; Metazoa; Chordata; Actinopteri; Perciformes; Percidae
Exons: 5
Source: RefSeq, a predicted model, not a curated record